Amphiprion ocellaris (clown anemonefish) is the source of this 318-nucleotide long non-coding RNA. Lineage: Eukaryota; Metazoa; Chordata; Actinopteri; Pomacentridae. The record is from Ensembl.
CUCAUUCACCGUGUUACACUUGCUUCUGCCAGGUGUAGCCGGUAGGAUUUAGGGGCAUCUAGCGGUAAGAUUGCAGACUACGUCCAAACGAACACCCCUCGCCCUCCCCUACAAACGUGUAGGCGAAGCUGCUGAAAAAACGCCAAAGACUGUCUCCAGAGCCACGACAGCAUAGAAGCGGACCAACUCCACCUGUAGAUGUAAAGGACUCAUUCUAAGCUGUGUGAGCAGAAGGUUCCUCUCCAAAGAGCCCCAGGCAGACCUACCUCACCUAGAACCAAACCACGAUGAGCCCAGGGCCAGAUCCAGAGAGGGAGC